This 385-nucleotide ribosomal RNA is filed under the name Clostridioides difficile. RNAcentral describes it as "bacterial SSU rRNA". It matches the Rfam family "Bacterial small subunit ribosomal RNA", at positions 1071 to 1457 of the family's 1533-position model. The record is from RNAcentral. Lineage: Bacteria; Bacillati; Bacillota; Clostridia; Peptostreptococcales; Peptostreptococcaceae.
GAUGUUGGGUUAAGUCCCGCAACGAGCGCAACCCUUGUCUUUAGUUGCCAUCAUUAAGUUGGGCACUCUAGAGAGACUGCCAGGGAUAACCUGGAGGAAGGUGGGGAUGACGUCAAAUCAUCAUGCCCCUUAUGCUUAGGGCUACACACGUGCUACAAUGGGUAGUACAGAGGGUUGCCAAGCCGUAAGGUGGAGCUAAUCCCUUAAAGCUACUCUCAGUUCGGAUUGUAGGCUGAAACUCGCCUACAUGAAGCUGGAGUUACUAGUAAUCGCAGAUCAGAAUGCUGCGGUGAAUGCGUUCCCGGGUCUUGUACACACCGCCCGUCACACCACGGGAGUUGGAGACGCCCGAAGCCGAUUAUCUAACCUUUUGGAAGAAGUCGUC